GAGAGAGUAGGGAAGAAAAGGGGGUGGGAUGUUGGGCUUUAGGUUUGGGCUUGAGGGUGGGUUUGAAUUGUGGGCCGAGUCAGUGGGCUUACAAUUUUGGGCCGAUUUUAAUUGAGAGUUGGGCCGAUUUUCCUUGCUUGAAAUUUCGAAUUGGGCUGAGUAUUUGGGCCGAGAUUUUAUUAUUUUUGUUUCAGCUGGGC
This 200-nucleotide long non-coding RNA is filed under the name Salvia miltiorrhiza (redroot sage). RNAcentral's name for it is "long non-coding RNA (SMIL_LNC009376)". The record is from RNAcentral. Lineage: Eukaryota; Viridiplantae; Streptophyta; Magnoliopsida; Lamiales; Lamiaceae.